AUGGGGACACUUCAGACUCAAUUAAGUCUUACUUGUAGUAGCACCAUAGAAGAUCCAGAGGAAGAGAGACCUCAGAUUGAAGAUGUACUCGAAGCCAAGGCACAAGAUGAUCCAGAGCUCGAACAACCAAGUAAUAAAGUUGAAGACUCAUCAUCUACUACUCUUGAAGAAGCAAAAGAAGCUGUUGUAGAUGAACUUGAAGAACCAGAAUUUCAUUUGCCUAUUGUCAUACAAGAGCGUGAUGUAGCAGGUUUAUCUAAUCCUCUUGCUGACAUGAGUACAUAUGAAUUGUUUGCUACUACCUUGCAUUGCAUGAUGCCAUCUGUUAAAGUAGAUUUGAAAAAGUAUUUGCUUGGAUAUGAUCAUAUAUACCUUGUUAGUGGCAUUACUCACAUUAGGGAUGAUCAUAGUUACUUCAUCGUGCUAGACCUAUGCUUAAUGAAACAUAUCAUUCUCAUACUAGUCUUGAGCUUAAUGAUAAAUGUCAUCCUCAUGUUAGUGUUGACCUUGCUGAUUUCUAUCACCCUAAACAUGUGCUUUAUAGCUAUGCUUAUGUAA
RNAcentral lists this ribosomal RNA (558 nucleotides) under Triticum aestivum (bread wheat). RNAcentral's name for it is "partial small subunit ribosomal RNA". The record is from RNAcentral. Lineage: Eukaryota; Viridiplantae; Streptophyta; Magnoliopsida; Poales; Poaceae.